RNAcentral lists this ribosomal RNA (301 nucleotides) under uncultured Terribacillus sp. RNAcentral describes it as "bacterial SSU rRNA". It matches the Rfam family "Bacterial small subunit ribosomal RNA", at positions 494 to 795 of the family's 1533-position model. The record is from RNAcentral. Lineage: Bacteria; Bacillati; Bacillota; Bacilli; Caryophanales; Bacillaceae.
CGUCUAUUUACGUGGCGGCUGUGCGUUAAUUCGUUGGCGUGCGAGCGUUUUCCUGCGUUUGUGGGCGGUAAGAGGCUAUAGGUGGUGUGGUAAGUCGGAUUUUAGAGCUCAAGGAUCUAUCUGGAGGGUGCUUUCUGUUCUGUCAUGACAAGAGUUCAGUAGGGGAGUGUGGAAUUCCAGGUGGAGCUGUGAAAGGCGCACAUAUCAGGAGGAGAAACCGUAGCGAAGGCGGCACUCUGGGCCGAUACUGACGCUGAGGAGCGAAAGCGUGUCGAGCAAACAUGAUUAGAUACCCGUAGUC